UACAGAGGGUGCAAGCGUUGUUCGGAAUUAUUGGGCGUAAAGCGCGUGUAGGCGGCUUUGCAAGUCGGGUGUGAAAGCCCUCAGCUUAACUGAGGAAGUGCGCCCGAAACUGCAGAGCUUGAGUACCGGAGAGGGUGGCGGAAUUCCCCAAGUAGAGGUGAAAUUCGUAGAUAUUCGGAAGAACACCAGUGGCGAAGGCGGCCAACUGGUCCGGCACUGACGCUGAGGUGCGAAAGCGUGGGGAGCAAACAGG
This 253-nucleotide ribosomal RNA is filed under the name uncultured bacterium. RNAcentral's name for it is "partial 16S ribosomal RNA". It matches the Rfam family "Bacterial small subunit ribosomal RNA", at positions 524 to 776 of the family's 1533-position model. The record is from RNAcentral.